GUCAGCAAAAACAGCAGCAACAACACUUACGAUGUCCGCUAUCAUCAGCACAAGACGUGUGCUCCAGUCCUCAGCUCGAGGUAUGAAUCCAACAACAGAUUGAUUGCAUCUGCACGGCUGCACACUCCAUAUGCCCAAAACAGGCAGCGGCGUGUUUGCAUUCAUCCCCAUAACUAACUGGCUGAUGCAAUACUCGGGCUAAAUCAGGCAGCAAAAUCCAGAAAGGAGCCACAAUGGUGGUUCUGUCGAGCUGCUGGCUAAACGAGGAUGGCCCGUGGCUUCAAAAGGGGGAAGAACUCCUCUGCAUUUGCUAUGACUAAACCCCCCCAGCUUGGCACAACUCAUCAGACAUGCAUUUAUCUCUCAUUUUGCCAGUGACUCUACCGCUAGGUUCAAGGCUUACAUUUAUAUGCUUUAAAAGUGAAGAAAAAAAAGAAAAAAAAAUCAAUUUAGCUGCAUUUUCUGCAUGUUGUAACAGGGAACUAUUUCAUAUAACACAACAUGGUUCAAACACUUUCAUUUUUGUGCAAUCAAUUACCCUCUUUAUUCCUCAA
Doryrhamphus excisus (bluestripe pipefish) is the source of this 554-nucleotide non-coding RNA. The record is from RefSeq and is a predicted model, not a curated record. NCBI's taxonomy places the organism in Eukaryota, Metazoa, Chordata, Actinopteri, Syngnathiformes, Syngnathidae.